UUUUCUCGUCUACUUGGAGCAUGCUCUUUCUUUGAAUAAAAGGGUGGUUUACAUUGUUACGAGGACACAUACAUAUAUAUAUAAAUAUAUGGACGUUAUUUCCAUGCUGCAACCCACCAUGUGUACCAAUUUUAACACAUUCGCUGCCCAACAGAUUUACGAUAAUUUUUAAGGGGAAAAAUAAAUCUCGUUUUCUAGAUGUCUGUACGAUGUACAUGUAUUUGUUUUUACAUCUGGAAGAAAUACCCUGCUAGAUCUAUAUUUUCUAUGGUACAAACAUAUGUAUGUUUACUUUUACCUUUUUUUUACCUAUCUAUGAAGAAACUACAGUGGCUUACAGCUUAAAUGAACCAGACAACCAGAAAAACUUAAAAGUGGUACACUCAAAUGUGGUACAAAUUCAGUCGAAGUUACGAUCAAACGAGUAUAUCCUCUUGCGUGAUGCCCGGCUAUCGUUAAAAGUCUGUGGGACUAAUCUCGAAUUUACCUGUUUUUACGCAUGGGAUGCCUGUGCGUAUUGGCAAUCCGUCUUCGUUGCUUGAUCUUGCGCCGCUCCCAACUGAUUUUAAUUUCAAAUAAAUAAUUUGGAAAUUGAGGUAGGAAUCACCAUUAAUGGUGCCACCAAAUUCGCAUUUCUUUGCACUGCAGAUAAGAGCCAUGUUCAACAGCUGUUGGGUCACUGUGCACAGCGAGAAAAAAAGACGCACUGAGAGGACAAGCUAGAUGAGAGACCAGGCAGCAGCAGCAGCAGCAGAAAGAGCACGAUGAUCAGCAGUUAUGUAUGUCCCUAUGUAUGUACAUAUAUACAGGGCAGACGGCGCAGCGAAGUGACGAAAGCUAACGACGAACUCCAAUAAAGCAAAGCAGAGGCGCCGAGAUAUUAGACCAUAAACGAAGAAUGCAGGCGUCGUAUGGUAAGAGUGAGAGCCAGAGUGCAGCUCGCGUGAAAUCCAGAGAGUGAGUAGGCAGUGCAACGGAUUAUGCGCGAGAACGGCGAAAAAGGCGAGAGCGAUGCAGAAACACGACCGGCUUGCUUGUCACGAAAGGCUUGCUUUUUUGAUAUUGCUGUUCGCAAAAGAGACGAAUUGCUUCGAUGGGUGAAAAUGAGAAAAACAUAGAAACAAGGAGAAGGAACGUGUGAGUCGCUUCUGGGGACGCGACAAUA
This is a long non-coding RNA of Drosophila obscura, 1165 nucleotides long. RefSeq lists it as uncharacterized. NCBI's taxonomy places the organism in Eukaryota, Metazoa, Arthropoda, Insecta, Diptera, Drosophilidae. The record is from RefSeq and is a predicted model, not a curated record. The transcript has 3 exons.